This is a non-coding RNA of Myodes glareolus (Bank vole), 2930 nucleotides long. The record is from RefSeq and is a predicted model, not a curated record. Lineage: Eukaryota; Metazoa; Chordata; Mammalia; Rodentia; Cricetidae.
GCUCCCUCCCUCCGCGCCCUGCGCCCGCCGCCUCCUCCCGCCCUCCGGCUCCCUCCUUCUUCCCGGGCUCCAAUCGCCACCUUCCACCCGCUCCCCGCCCGCGCCGCCUCCUUUCUCCCUCCUCUCCUCCCACUGCCCUUCCCGCGAACGGCUCGGCGCGCCGAGGCAGGCUUCAACCGAGACUCGCAGAAGGAGCUGGCAGCCAGAGCCGGGGAGGGAUUCACGUGGGAAGACAGUCCUGGGAAGUCUCAGACCGAGAGGCUGCAGAGGGAUACGGGCGGAGAGAAACGCGUGAUCUGCACGAACUCCCAAAAGGUGGACACAGAUCCAGAUGGGUACAGAGAACAGCUGUGAGGCCUUGGCUUCUCGGCCGCCUCUUGGUUACUGCAGGAGCGGAAUGCGGGACUAAUCUGAACCAGGCCUGACCUGGAGUGGGCGCCAGACUUAGACACCCGUUACUGGUGUCCCAGGUUUUCGGACACCGCUUCCUAAUGCUGUGCCCCACUGGAGCUUUCUGUGUCAUCUCUUCUCCCAAAGGACUCAGAACUGAGGACCCAGAGAAGGGAGCGCAAAACUCCCGCCAAUCAACGGCUUUAGUCAUCACCCAGGUGUUCUUCGGUCUUGCCAAUGGAAGUUCUUUUGAUGGUGUCAUUUCAUUCCCUUCUUUUAAGUCCGAUAUUGGAUAGGAACGUCUGGAAUUAAACUAAUGGGCCAUGGUGCUACUUUGAGUUGUGACACUCCGGAGAAGGUGGAGGGGAGGGAUGUGGUCCUAGAUCUUUGAACCUAUUGCCUUUCCUGUGUUCCCAGCAUUCUUUAGCAGAUCCUAAACAAUUUUGUUGCUACCCUCCCUACUGGAAUUUACGUACUGGAAAUUGGUGGAGCUGGAGGAUCUCCACGCUGAGAAGUGUGAGAUCAGGUCUGUCUCAUCGCACGAAGAACAGUGGUUCUAUACUGGUGUCUCACAGCAGCUGUGUCCAACUCCAGUCAGUAUGGAUGGCACCACUUGGCCUCAUGGACGGCUCGGAAUUUAAGGAGGCACAGGCCUCAACAUGCCAUUCCUGCACUAGUCAAAAUGCUGGGGUUUAAGUAACCAAGUCACCAAAUCUACCGAGGCCUACACCUCCACUGCUAUGUAAAACUCAAGGACUCCACUGCUAUGUAAAAAUGCGGAAAAGAGGCAAGAGCAAUUAAAAACACAGGGGUACCCAAAAACUGCAGCAUUAACUUCAACUUUAAAGACUGGAUUUAUUGGAGAAAAACAAAAAACCCUCAACCCAAAGGAUGGGAUUUUACAUCUCAAGACAUCUCCCAAGUAAUAAUGUCUACAGAUUACAAAUCAUUUUCAUAGAAGAUAUUUUUGUACAAAUUUUACAUGUAUUCAGGAGCGGGACAUAAGUCAACCCCUGUUUUUAUUUUAACAGGAGUAGAGAGUGGGACAGAACAGCUUUCUUCUGGGUGCAACUACCUGGAAGGGAAAUAGACAUGAAUAGGGCAAACUACCUUUUCAUUGUCCACAACCAACUGUUUAAAGAACCCAUUCAGCGGUGGGUCUUUCACUAAAGCCCACUUACUAGCUACUAGCCAAUCAAGUGAGCUGCUAUGCCCACUGCUGCAGCAAACUGAACCAAAGCUCCUGCACAGCAGGCCUAAGGGCUUGCACAUCAGGACCAAAUUCUCUUUUGUCUGCAGGCAUCCUGACAUCCUACAACAGGGAAGCUUGGCCUCUUUGGAGCUGAUCCUUACAAAAAGGCGCAGAUCAAAGCAGACAUCAAGCUACUGUGUUGCAAGAGAAGCAAGAAACUAUUCAACAGUUCUUUGCAUUAUCCUUUAUUCUUGAGGGAAGUCAAGAAACCAACCCCCAUUAACAGAAAGCCACAGUCUAGGUCACAUUAGAAACCCAAGCACCAGUAUGGGGUUCCAGUGAAGGAAAUGUAUAGAAACCUCACACACCAUCAAGGCUGAAGACCUUUAACUCAACUCUCCCCAUGUCACCAAGUCCAUCAACUGAAAUACUCUGACAACAGCAGGGGCAGGCAGGGACCGGAAUUAGACAGCAUAGAACUGGUUUGCUUGAGAAAAGCAGUGAUUCCUCAGGCCACAGCUUCCGGUGGCCAAUAAAAUGCCUGUAAGAACAGGUGUGUGACUUACACAGACUGCUUUUUGAAGGCUAAGUGUCAUCAAGAAUGCGAGAUGACCAGAGUGAUAAGGUUUUAAAAGAAUGUGGAUAUAUUUGAACCUCUAGAAAGGACAGGUCUUAGAAGACUGGAAUUUCCCACAACUGCUAAGUGCUUCCCCAUCCAGGAAAUGAUCCGUUCUAUUCAAGUGUCUAUUGGAGGUCACACCAUUUCCCGCACUACCUGGUAUAAAAUAACUGAUCACUCCCCCAACCAAAGCUUUUCAAACCACGAUUGAGCUUUCCAUUUAUUUUGGUCCCCAAGCAAUACUACUUGUUAGUGGCCUGCAGACUCAUUCCCAACUACCCCCUUGGGGGGUAAACAAACAAACAAACAAACAACAAUUCCCUCUAGGCUGACCCCAGUUAAGUCAGAAUUAAAGUAGAAGGGCUGGCAGCCUCCUGGAGACUAAAAUAACUUGAGAGACUAAAUCUACCUUUCCAAGGAUGGGAAAUGUACUCAGAUGAUGUUUGGGGAAUUCAUAGGUGCCAUCACAGGGUAUGAACUAAAAGGUAGAAAUCUCAACUCUUCCUUGUGCCUUUUUCUACUGCCCAACUUAUGUGACUGAGUCUGUCACUACAUUCCUGCUGAAUGGAGCCCCAGGCACUAGCCACACAGGUAGCUGCUUGGUAUCCUCAGAACACAUUAUAACUUCCCCAUUCAAAAGCAGUAGCCUUAUCUCUUGGUCUAUGAUGGUGAUUGAUUCUCCAGUUACUUCAAUACUUUAAAAGGCUGCAGCAGCAUGCAAAACAAUUU